CGAACGGGUGAGUAACGCGUGAGGAACCUGCCUCAAAGAGGGGGACAACAGUUGGAAACGACUGCUAAUACCGCAUAAGCCCACGGCUCGGCAUCGAGCAGAGGGAAAAGGAGCAAUCCGCUUUGAGAUGGCCUCGCGUCCGAUUAGCUGGUUGGUGAGGUAACGGCCCACCAAGGCGACGAUCGGUAGCCGGACUGGGAGGUUGAACGGCCACAUUGGGACUGAGACACGGUCCAA
RNAcentral lists this ribosomal RNA (237 nucleotides) under uncultured bacterium. Its description in RNAcentral is "partial 16S ribosomal RNA". It matches the Rfam family "Bacterial small subunit ribosomal RNA", at positions 99 to 334 of the family's 1533-position model. The record is from RNAcentral.